GGGGGCGACACGGCUUCGACGGGUUUGGGAAUCUCGAAGCUGCGUGCCGAGGUCCGGAGACCUCGCAAAUCCUCUCCGGAAACCACAAAACCGCCAACUCCAACUUGGCUCUGGCUGCCUAGACACGGGCAGCCCGUUUCCCGGUCCGCCCGCCCGAGGCAGUCCGGGAGGCGUCGACAAUUCGGGCUGGUUUUCCGAUUCGCGCCACCGGAUCGGAGAAUGAGACACGCGGUGGCUAGCCCGGCGGGGGGGGUUCGCCGACCCCCGCCGGAGGCGAAGCCGAACGGCGAUCUACGCACGUAGAAGCUUGGAAGGACUCAUUCGCGGACGCGGGUUCGACUCCCGCCGCCUCCAUUC
This 357-nucleotide transfer-messenger RNA is filed under the name Gemmatimonadota bacterium. It matches the Rfam family "transfer-messenger RNA". From Rfam's summary of the family: Bacterial tmRNA, also known as 10Sa RNA or SsrA, is named for its dual tRNA and mRNA-like properties. Its role is to liberate the mRNA from a stalled ribosome. To accomplish this part of the tmRNA is used as a reading frame that ends in a translation stop signal. Lineage: Bacteria; Pseudomonadati; Gemmatimonadota. The record is from RNAcentral.